Parelaphostrongylus tenuis is the source of this 71-nucleotide non-coding RNA. The record is from the annotation of a GenBank genome assembly. Lineage: Eukaryota; Metazoa; Nematoda; Chromadorea; Rhabditida; Metastrongylidae.
GCUCGGUGAUGUAGUGGUAGCACGCGUCCCCGAUACGGAUCAAACGCGGGUUCGACUCCCGUCUGUGGUCG